Eriocheir sinensis (Chinese mitten crab) is the source of this 382-nucleotide long non-coding RNA. RefSeq lists it as uncharacterized. The transcript has 3 exons. NCBI's taxonomy places the organism in Eukaryota, Metazoa, Arthropoda, Malacostraca, Decapoda, Varunidae. The record is from RefSeq and is a predicted model, not a curated record.
GUUAUCUCAUUUAUCACAUAUACUGACAUACAAGGGGUGUAGGUUAUCUCAUUUAUCACAUAUACUGACAUACAAGGGGUGCAGGUUAUCUCUUUUAUCACAUAUACUGACAUACAAGGGGUACAGGUUAUCUCAUUUAUCACAUAUACUGACAUACAAGGGGUACAGGUUAUCUCAUUUAUCACAUAUACUGACAUACAAGGGGUGCAGGUUAUCUCUUUUAUCACAUAUACUGACAUACAAGGGGUGCAGGUUAUCUCUUUUAUCACAUAUACUGACAUACAAGGGGUACAGGUUAUCUCAUUUAUCACAUAUACUGACAUACAAGGGGUGCAGGUUAUCUCUUUCAUCACAUAUACUGACAUACAAGGGGUACAGGUUA